Molecule: ribosomal RNA, 870 nt
Filed under: Hymenochaete porioides
Lineage: Eukaryota; Fungi; Basidiomycota; Agaricomycetes; Hymenochaetales; Hymenochaetaceae
Description: eukaryotic LSU rRNA
Rfam family: Eukaryotic large subunit ribosomal RNA
Source: RNAcentral
UAACAAGGAUUCCCUUAGUAACUGCGAGUGAACCGGGAAGAGCUCAAAUUUAAAAUCUGGCGGUUUUGCCGUCCGAGUUGUAAUCUGGAGAAGCGUUUUCCGCGUCGGACCGUGUACAAGUCUCUUGGAAUAGAGCGUCAUAGAGGGUGAGAAUCCCGUCCAUGACACGGACUCCCGGUGCUUUGUGAUACGCUCUCAAAGAGUCGAGUUGUUUGGGAAUGCAGCUCAAAAUGGGUGGUAAAUUCCAUCUAAAGCUAAAUAUUGGCGAGAGACCGAUAGCGAACAAGUACCGUGAGGGAAAGAUGAAAAGCACUUUGGAAAGAGAGUUAAACAGUACGUGAAAUUGUUGAAAGGGAAACGCUUGAAGUCAGUCGCGUCGUACGGAGCUCAGCCUUGCUUUUGCAUGGUGUAUUCUCUGUGUCGAUGGGUCAACAUCAAUUUUGACCGGUGGAAAAGGGCUUAGGGAAUGUAGCGUUGUUUCGGCGACGUGUUAUAGCCCUAAGUCGUAUGCAUCGGUUGGGAUUGAGGACCGCAGCACGCCCUUGUGGCCGGGGGUUCGCCCUACGUUUCGUGCUUAGGAUGUUGGCAAAAUGGCUUUAAGCGACCCGUCUUGAAACACGGACCAAGGAGUCUAACAUGCCUGCGAGUGUUCGGGUGGAAAACCCUUGCGCGUAAUGAAAGUGAAAGUUGGGAUCCUUCGUAAGGGGGUGCACCGACGCCCGGCCCUGAAGUUCUCUGACGGUGCUGCGGUAGAGCAUGUAUGUUGGGACCCGAAAGAUGGUGAACUAUGCCUGAAUAGGGUGAAGCCAGAGGAAACUCUGGUGGAGGCUCGUAGCGAUUCUGACGUGCAAAUCGAUCGUCAAAUUUGGG